Molecule: ribosomal RNA, 404 nt
Filed under: Actinomycetes bacterium
Lineage: Bacteria; Bacillati; Actinomycetota; Actinomycetes
Description: Actinobacteria bacterium partial 16S ribosomal RNA
Rfam family: Bacterial small subunit ribosomal RNA
Source: RNAcentral
UGGGGAAUAUUGGACAAUGGGCGCAAGCCUGAUCCAGCCAUGCCGCGUGAGUGAUGAAGGCCCUAGGGUUUUAAAGCUCUUUCACCGGUGAAGAUAAUGACGGUAACCGUAGAAGAAGCCCCGCCUAACUUCGUGCCAGCAGCCGCGUUAAUACGAAGGGGGCUAGCGUUGUUCGGAUUUACUGGGCGUAAAGCGCACGUAGGCGGACUUUUAAGUAAGGGGUGAAAUCCCGGGGCUCAACCCCGGAACUGCCUUUGAUACUGGAAGUCUUGAGUAUGGUAGAGGUGAGUGGAAUUCCGAGUGUAGAGGUGACAUUCGUAGAUAUUCGGAGGAACACCAGUGGCGAAGGCGUCUCACUGGACCAUUACUGACGCUGAGGUGCGAAAGCGUGGGGAGCAAACAGG